Molecule: long non-coding RNA, 2997 nt
Filed under: Sus scrofa (pig)
Lineage: Eukaryota; Metazoa; Chordata; Mammalia; Artiodactyla; Suidae
Description: lncRNA (ENSSSCG00055012083.1)
Source: RNAcentral
UGUGUGUGUGUGUGCAAGCACGUUCUAGUUAUGCUCCAAAUUGUGGUUUCUCUGUCUGAAGUUAAAAAUGAAAGGUGAAUACAAUAUAUUGUAUUUGGUAACAAUGAUAUGGACUGGUACAUCGAGACAGAUAAUGUGCAGUUGUAAUUAGACUCAAUAGACAGGCAGUCAUUUUUAAAUUCUUUUGACACAUGCAUAAAAUAGUCAUAUAAUAAGAUAAGAUGACAAUUUUAUGUUAGGUUGAUAAAGUGUCCUGAUACAUGCAUUUAAAUGUCUGUAAGCCUUAAAAAAAAAAAAUCCAGACAGAUUAAUUCUAGUUUCCAGUAUUUGCAGUUAGUCAUUAAAUUAAUUUUCAAAUCCCACUAAACAAUGGCUAUGAAUAUGGUUGGUUUUUUUUUUUUUUCCCUUUUCUGGAUUCUUUUGCCUCAGUUGUAAGGAACAGAGCCAUAGAUUUGGUAGCUUUCUUUUAUUUUUCAACACUUGUAAACAUUUAUGUUAGACACGGGUGUCAAAAUUCAGGUUCCUGUUUGUUACUAGAAGGAUGCUGUGCAUUUUUGGAAGUGGAGAAAAAAAAAGCAGUGGUAGAACCUAAUCUGCCUAUGACCCAUGGCCUGCACAACUGUCAUACUCCCGGUUUUAGGAAUCUUUAUUAGAAAGACUACAUAGUGUCCUUGACCAAAUAUUGAAUAUUUUAUAAGCCCCAUUUAAAGACGACGACGUUUCGAGCACAUGCACUUGAUUUGAUCAGCCCUUAGAUUCUUGGACUUAAUCACUUUCGGUUCUGUAAAUUAUUUUAGUAUUUCCACAAGAGUGGCCCAAGAGAUGUAUUGGGGGCGAGGAGGGGGAAGCCUGUCUCUAAAGGUCACGUUACCUGGGUCCCCUGGCCUUUUCCACCAGCGCCUUCCCGAAUUUUCUCCAAGUGUGUGAAGGUGUGGCUCUGGAAGAAUAAUUUACAUUGUUUGGGCUUAAUGAUAAAUUAUUAAUUCGUCCUGUCAGGACACAUGUUAUUAAUUAUGACUGUGUUUUCUUCAUCCAGAACAGCUGUUGGGGCAACAGCGUAAGUUCAGAUUGUCUUCGAGGGGGAGAGCGCCAGAGCAAGGAACUUACCAACUCCUUGUCAUCAUCUUCCUGAUCCCCUUGCUUUGGGAAUAAAGGAUUGCAGGGGGCGGAGGGAAGGGGAGAGCGCAAGGAUUAAUUCUUGACCAAGGUGGGUCCUGGCAAAUGCUCACUUAAGGGACCUUUUUAAAAAGCAGGCCCGACGCAAACGAUGCUCCAAGUCCAGGUGGGAUGCUGAGGUCGUACCUGCGUCCUUCCGCCGCCUGGUUGCGGACUGGCUGGCUGCUCUCUCCGUUCUGCCCCUUCGUCCUCUUGUUGUCAUCCUCCUCUUGGGUAGACCAGAAGGUCGUGUUCCCAAGUUCAUGGUAGCGGAAAGCACAAUCCUCUCAAGGCCUGUUUGUCCCCCAAACUGGAACCCAUCCCUUGGAGAGCAGAGGGCUGUAUGGGGAUGUCCGUGAAAUGACUCCAGUGCAGUUACUUUUGAUUUUUCCAUCCCUAUCAUUAAAUCGAGUCCUAUGUCUUCAGUUUCCUCUGAGUUCUUUGAGAAAUGCAUGUUGCAUAAAAUAGGCAAUUUUUAAUGAACAAUUUAAUGUAAAUGGGUUUUGAAUUUAAAUUAAUAUUAAUGAAGCCUUGAGUGAAUUUAUUUUGCAUACGUAAAGACUUGUAAGUCUUUCACUCAUGUGCUUUCUCCUUUAUGUAGUAACAUUGGUUGGGUGGAUUAACCAGCGCCUUUUCAAGAUUUACACUUAAAACAUGAAAUUGAUUUCAUGUGUCCAAGAGUGCCAACAUAUUAUUAGGCAAAAGGGUUACUUCAUUUGAAGAAAAGAGACCUCAUUUCCCACGAAAACGCUGGCUCUCCACAGCCCUGCCCUUCCUAAAGGCUGCCGUGGGUUUGGCAUCGCUGCCGGGGGGGGGAAAAAUACACACCAACAAUAGUGACUACAAUCAAGACGUUGUCUUUCUUUGGCUUACCUCUAAUGCAUUAUGUAUCCUGGGAUGAUGGGAAGUUCUGUAAUUAAUUCUGUUAGAUGUAAUUGCUAUAAUCACUUUGAUGCUACACAUAAUAAAGGUAAUACGGUAAGCACAUAAAAAAUAUAAACACCUUAUUGUACCACCACGGCUCACAUUCCUUCUCUCGCCAAGUCUGGCUGAUAGACAGGUGGUCUCACCUGUUUUUCGAUCAGAGGUGACCACUCCUCCGACCUGUGUUCACGGAUGUCCCAAAGGAGAGCCAGGGAUUGGAAGGGAUGGUCCUGGGCUUGAAGGGAUCUCCAAGCUGGUUGCCUAGCGGUCUGAAGUCCCUUUCCCUGAAAGAUGUGGCUCAUAAGAAAAGGUGACCAUUCGCUUCUCAAGGGGAGGGAGGUGAAUACUGCAGAAGGCGUUGUGGGACAGAGGAAGAGGUGCGGGAGUGGACGGGGAGCUCGGGGCAGAGGUUCAGAUCACAGGAUGUGCUGCUUUAGCGGGUUUUCGCAUCCUCAGAGUGUGGGAUUAUGGGAAGUGCCCUGGUGUGUGUGUGUGUGUGUUGUGUGUGUGUGUGUGUGUGUGUUUCCAUUGAUCGGCCUUGGAUUAUCAUUGCUGCUGACCAGACACGGGUCCUCCCCUUUACAAGAUAGAAGACACCCCGCCCAUCAAGGGGGGAUGGUUGAAUUUUGAAUAAUUUCCAAGGACACAGGGAAAAAGGAAGUAUCUGUGAUUUACACGAAAGCUCACAGGCAACUUCUCUCUCUCUCUUCUUCCUCUCUCUCUUCCCCGACAGAGGCAGUCACGUAUGAAACAUUAAAAUAUAAACAGAGCCGUAGUAGCCGAAGCCAGGACCCUUGUCUGAUUUUUUAAACUCUGGGACAUGCCUUUAAAAAAAAAAAAUCUGUAUCUGAAAAGCUGAGCACAAUAUAGCUAUUCAAAAAAAAAAAAAAAAAAUGCCGGUUGGCUUGCUUAGCAGUG